AUUUACUUAGAAUAAGUUUUUUUUUACAAUAAAAUUUUCCUUUAUUUUAGAGGGUUCUAAA
RNAcentral lists this transfer RNA (61 nucleotides) under Endeis sp. JZ-2022. Its description in RNAcentral is "tRNA-Val". Lineage: Eukaryota; Metazoa; Arthropoda; Pycnogonida; Pantopoda; Endeidae. The record is from RNAcentral.